This 468-nucleotide long non-coding RNA is filed under the name Androctonus crassicauda. The record is from RNAcentral. Lineage: Eukaryota; Metazoa; Arthropoda; Arachnida; Scorpiones; Buthidae.
GAUGCCAGUGUGCUCCAGAAAGUGUAAGGGGUCUGUUUUUCAUUUCCAUGGACAUCUUCCACAGCUUCACCUGACAACGACUGUUCCUAUGAAGAAGCCACUUGUGUUUUAAGCAGAAGCAACCUCUCUCUUCUCCUCUGUCUUCCAGACGGGGACAGAGAUGGGAGAGAUUGAGCCAAAUCAGCCUUCUGUUGGUUAAUAUUGUAUAAUGCAUGGCUUUGUGCACAGCCCAGUGUGGGAUUACAGCUUUGGGAUGACUGCUUAUAAAGUUCUGUUUGGUUAGUAUUGGCAUAGUUUUUUCUAUAUAGCCAUACAUGCGUAUAUAUACCCAUAGGGCUAGAUCUGUAUCUUAGUGUAGUGAUGUAUACGUAUACACAUACACCUGUGUGUUGAAGGGCCUAAUCAGCUUUGGAAGUAUCGAGUGGUCCCUUAUCUCUUAAAGCUAAUUCUUAGAUUUGUUUAUUUACC